Molecule: long non-coding RNA, 529 nt
Organism: Lacerta agilis (Sand lizard)
Lineage: Eukaryota; Metazoa; Chordata; Lepidosauria; Squamata; Lacertidae
Exons: 4
Source: RefSeq, a predicted model, not a curated record
GGGCAAGGGCUUGAGGGGCUUCUCCUCCAGACACACGCGGCAAGUCAGCACCAGCAAGGGCCCGAAGUCCCCGGAGAUGAGCCCGGAGAACGGCUCGGGCAGCAGUAAGAAAGAGGAAAUUAUUCCUGCUACUGAACCAAAGAGUUCCUCGUGAUGGAAGAAGGAAAUCCUGUUGAGAAGCAUGAAGAAGGGAAACAAGAAUGUGGCUAUUUACUCAUUUUUCUAGAUGCCCACCCCUAACAAGCCCAUUUCCUGAAAUGCUAUUUCUCUUGAGAGCCAUUACAUGGGUCAGAAGUGCACUGAAUCCACUGGAAGCAGUUUUCUGAACAUGCAACUAGAAGCUGUCGGAGGCACGCCCAGAGAAAGCAAUAAGGCUUUUUAUUUCAGGUCUGCUGCCCCACAGCUCCUCCUGUCUUUAAGCUUCGUGUGGGCUUCAGUCCAAGACCAAGUGCUUUACAACUGCCAUAUUUUGGCAAUCCUUAGAGCCAAGAAAAGCUGCUUUCUCAAGCACCUUGAAAGCCCCCAAACA